RNAcentral lists this ribosomal RNA (2900 nucleotides) under Streptococcus pneumoniae. Its description in RNAcentral is "bacterial LSU rRNA". It matches the Rfam family "Bacterial large subunit ribosomal RNA". The record is from RNAcentral. Lineage: Bacteria; Bacillati; Bacillota; Bacilli; Lactobacillales; Streptococcaceae.
UUAAGUUAAUAAGGGCGCACGGUGGAUGCCUUGGCACUAGGAGCCGACGAAGGACGUGACAAACGACGAUAUGCCUUGGGUAGCUGUAAGUAAGCGAUGAUCCAGGGAUUUCCGAAUGGGGGAACCCAACAGGUAAUACCUGUUACCUACAUCUGUUAAGGAUGUGAGGAGGAAGACGCAGUGAACUGAAACAUCUAAGUAGCUGCAGGAAGAGAAAGCAAAAGCGAUUGCCUUAGUAGCGGCGAGCGAAACGGCAGAAGGGCAAACCGAAGAGUUUACUCUUCGGGGUUGUAGGACUGCAAUGUGGACUCAAAGAUUAUAGAAGAAUGAUUUGGGAAGAUCAGCCAAAGAGAGUAAUAGCCUCGUAUUUAAAAUAGUCUUUGUACCUAGCAGUAUCCUGAGUACGGCGGGACACGUGAAAUCCCGUCGGAAUCUGGGAGGACCAUCUCCCAACCCUAAAUACUCCCUAGUGACCGAUAGUGAACCAGUACCGUGAGGGAAAGGUGAAAAGCACCCCGGGAGGGGAGUGAAAUAGAACCUGAAACCGUGUGCCUACAACAAGUUCGAGCCCGUUAAUGGGUGAGAGCGUGCCUUUUGUAGAAUGAACCGGCGAGUUACGUUAUGAUGCGAGGUUAAGUUGAAGAGACGGAGCCGUAGGGAAACCGAGUCUGAAUAGGGCGCCUUAGUAUCAUGACGUAGACCCGAAACCAUGUGACCUACCCAUGAGCAGGUUGAAGGUGCGGUAAGACGCACUGGAGGACCGAACCAGGGCACGUUGAAAAGUGCUUGGAUGACUUGUGGGUAGCGGAGAAAUUCCAAACGAACUUGGAGAUAGCUGGUUCUCUCCGAAAUAGCUUUAGGGCUAGCGUCGACAUUAGAGAUUCUUGGAGGUAGAGCACUGUUUGGGUGAGGGGUCCAUCCCGGAUUACCAAUCUCAGAUAAACUCCGAAUGCCAAUGAAUUAUGGUCGGCAGUCAGACUGCGAGUGCUAAGAUCCGUAGUCGAAAGGGAAACAGCCCAGACCACCAGCUAAGGUCCCAAAAUAAUUGUUAAGUGGAAAAGGAUGUGGGGUUGCACAGACAACUAGGAUGUUAGCUUAGAAGCAGCUAUUCAUUCAAAGAGUGCGUAAUAGCUCACUAGUCGAGUGACCCUGCGCCGAAAAUGUACCGGGGCUAAAACAAUUUACCGAAGCUGUGGAUACCUUUAUAGGUAUGGUAGGAGAGCGUUCUAUGUGUGAUGAAGGUAUACCGUGAGGAGUGCUGGAACGCAUAGAAGUGAGAAUGCCGGUAUGAGUAGCGAAAGACAGGUGAGAAUCCUGUCCACCGUAAGACUAAGGUUUCCAGGGGAAGGCUCGUCCGCCCUGGGUUAGUCGGGACCUAAGGAGAGACCGAAAGGUGUAUCCGAUGGACAACAGGUUGAUAUUCCUGUACUAGAGUAUGUAGUGAUGGAGGGACGCAGUAGGCUAACUAAAGCAGACGAUUGGAAGAGUCUGUCUAAGCAGUGAGGUGUGAAUUGAGUCAAAUGCUUAAUUCUAUAACAUUGAGCUGUGAUGGGGAGCGAAGUUUAGUAGCGAAGUUAGUGACGUCACACUGCCAAGAAAAGCUUCUAGCGUUUAAACAUACUCUACCCGUACCGCAAACCGACACAGGUAGUCGAGGCGAGUAGCCUCAGGUGAGCGAGAGAACUCUCGUUAAGGAACUCGGCAAAAUGACCCCGUAACUUCGGGAGAAGGGGUGCUGACUUAAAGUCAGCCGCAGUGAAUAGGCCCAAGCAACUGUUUAUCAAAAACACAGCUCUCUGCUAAAUCGUAAGAUGAUGUAUAGGGGGUGACGCCUGCCCGGUGCUGGAAGGUUAAGAGGAGUGCUUAGCGUAAGCGAAGGUAUGAAUUGAAGCCCCAGUAAACGGCGGCCGUAACUAUAACGGUCCUAAGGUAGCGAAAUUCCUUGUCGGGUAAGUUCCGACCCGCACGAAAGGCGUAAUGAUUUGGGCACUGUCUCAACGAGAGACUCGGUGAAAUUUUAGUACCUGUGAAGAUGCAGGUUACCCGCGACAGGACGGAAAGACCCCAUGGAGCUUUACUGCAGUUUGAUAUUGAGUGUCUGUACCACAUGUACAGGAUAGGUAGGAGUCUAAGAGAUCGGGACGCCAGUUUCGAAGGAGACGCUGUUGGGAUACUACCCUUGUGUUAUGGCCACUCUAACCCAGAUAGGUGAUCCCUAUCGGAGACAGUGUCUGACGGGCAGUUUGACUGGGGCGGUCGCCUCCUAAAAGGUAACGGAGGCGCCCAAAGGUUCCCUCAGAAUGGUUGGAAAUCAUUCGCAGAGUGUAAAGGUAUAAGGGAGCUUGACUGCGAGAGCUACAACUCGAGCAGGGACGAAAGUCGGGCUUAGUGAUCCGGUGGUUCCGUAUGGAAGGGCCAUCGCUCAACGGAUAAAAGCUACCCUGGGGAUAACAGGCUUAUCUCCCCCAAGAGUUCACAUCGACGGGGAGGUUUGGCACCUCGAUGUCGGCUCGUCGCAUCCUGGGGCUGUAGUCGGUCCCAAGGGUUGGGCUGUUCGCCCAUUAAAGCGGCACGCGAGCUGGGUUCAGAACGUCGUGAGACAGUUCGGUCCCUAUCCGUCGCGGGCGUAGGAAAUUUGAGAGGAUCUGCUCCUAGUACGAGAGGACCAGAGUGGACUUACCGCUGGUGUACCAGUUGUCUUGCCAAAGGCAUCGCUGGGUAGCUAUGUAGGGAAGGGAUAAACGCUGAAAGCAUCUAAGUGUGAAACCCACCUCAAGAUGAGAUUUCCCAUGAUUAUAUAUCAGUAAGAGCCCUGAGAGAUGAUCAGGUAGAUAGGUUAGAAGUGGAAGUGUGGCGACACAUGUAGCGGACUAAUACUAAUAGCUCGAGGACUUAUCCAA